AAAGUGCUUUGAACAGCGUUUGGCACAUGGAGAAUUGAAUGAGCAAACGGAAGAGCGGCAACCCUGAGUUAUAUUUCUCAAGACACCGGGGCUCUUGAUGGCACAGCAGCAGCUUGCUAGAGCUUGGUAAAGAGACUUGGGCCUGGUACCUGAAGGGCAAUUCCUUGGCCAUGACAUUGUAGGGAAAGACCUCUAUGGGUGUUGAAAAGACAAGGCGAGGACAAGAAGAGUUGAAAAGGAGCUGUUCUGAAGCCACCUGGCUGUGGAUGGAGGAAGCCACAUGUAGCUUAGGUAGCCUGCUAUUGUAAUUUUUUCUGCAACUGAAGAAUUCAAAAUGGGUUUGGUGGGUAGCGAAGGGCAGAAUCUGGCUUCAAGGUGACAGAGUUUGCAUAGAGAUGGCCUUCUUGAGCAAAGGUAGUGACUCCUACAUUUUUUUUUUGUAGAGUUAUGAUACCCAUGAGUUAGUCAGCUUGGGCUAUCAUAACAAAAUACCACACAUUGGUUGGCUUAAACAACAGAAAUUCAUUUUCCUGUAAUUCUGGAGCCUGGAAGUCCAAGAUCAAGGUGACGACAGAG
RNAcentral lists this long non-coding RNA (576 nucleotides) under Pan troglodytes (chimpanzee). RNAcentral describes it as "lincRNA". Lineage: Eukaryota; Metazoa; Chordata; Mammalia; Primates; Hominidae. The record is from RNAcentral.